This 13682-nucleotide long non-coding RNA is filed under the name Prunus persica (peach). Its description in RNAcentral is "long non-coding RNA (PPER_LNC000215)". Lineage: Eukaryota; Viridiplantae; Streptophyta; Magnoliopsida; Rosales; Rosaceae. The record is from RNAcentral.
UGUUGAUCCUGGCGCUAAUCUCAGUUGCUAGAAUGCCAAAACUUAUUAAUUAUAUGGAGAUAUCGUUAAUUGCCCCCUUUAAUAUGAUAUAUAUCAAUAUAUCUUUUUUUUUUGUUUGUUCCCAAGCUAGCAUGGAAGGAGAGGGCUACCUCCUGUUGUGUACUCCACCCAUUGAAUAAAUAAAGACUAUAUAUUUCUAUUGAAUGUGUUUUUUGUCAUUCGCUAAGGAGGAGGAUGAAGCAGAAUUAUAUUGGAUUGCCUCAAGAUUGUCUUCUAUGUGAAUCGAACCCGGGUGCACUAAGGGGGGAAUGUGAGAGUUUUGGCCUACUUUUUUUACCGUGAUGCCACCCCAUGUGCUGUAUUGAAUGUUAUAUAUAUUGUUGAAAAUUGUAGGAAUCUUUGUGAAGUCUGUUUAGCGAACAUUUGUGAUUGGUUUGAUAUGAAUAUGAGAUUAGUUGUGCUGAGGACUUGUUUUCUUCUAAAUUUGUUUAUAUAUCGGCUUCUACCCUAACUUGAGAAAGAAUAAAUACUCCUUGGCAGUAAAGAUUGCUUGGAAUACAAUUCGGGCUAAUUACCUGUUUUAAGCAACUAGAAACCCCAAUCAAAUAAGGUCAUAUAAGCCACAAUUUGACUCAAGAAAAAUUCAGGCCCAAACAUGAACAAAAGCGCAUAUUAUUUUAGCACGAAUAGUUCUGUACCCUCUAGAAUCUUGUUAUUUUCACAUAGCUCUUUCCUAUCUGCCAAUCUCUUCUCCCGAUUUGUCAUUUCUCAUCACUUUCUGUUGAUCCACUUUUCGGCAUCGAACCUAAAUUUCCCUCUCAUUUACUCAAACAAAGUUCCCAACUUUCUUCUCUGUCUCACUUCUAAUUGUUUCAAUCAAAUUGAACUGCAGGCAUGCGCAGAGAAAGUAAAUUAAGAUAUUUUUUAAAAAAAAGCAUUUUCAUUCAUAACCUUCCCGAGCUCAAAUAUUGAGAUUUCUUACAAGAAUUGCCAAUAUUCCUAGAGUCAUAUCACACUACACAGAUGAUAGAACUUCCCAACUUCUCAAGAGAAAGGGAAUCUAGAAUUAUUCUAACGAGUCAAAAAAGAAAGAGCUAUGCUACAGUCAAUCACCUGCGCGAGAUUAGGCCAUUUUUUACCAUUCAUUAUUGUGGGACACAAAUUUGAUUAAUGGUAAGAAAUUGCUCCCUUGUUCUUAUUUACGUUUGUCUUUCCUUCGAAGUCAUGAUCAUGUGGUGUUCUAGUGUUCCUAUUGUCAGUUCAUAUGGUAUAAGCUUCUCCUCAUUGUGGAUUGUAUUGGCACUAGUUUGCCAAGCACCUCUUUCUUUGCAUGGUCUCUGGGUCACUCGAACAGGAACCAACUCUCUUCUGUAAUCCAUGGUUCUGUCUUGAGGCAACAGUUUACUGUAUAUGGAAUCCAGCUGAUUUAUCUUUUCGAAUUCGAAAGCUACUUCUGCCAAGAAUGUUAUUAUAAGAUAUUGGCUGCUUUAAUUAUGAAGUUGGAUUAAGUCUAUUUGCUUUGUUUGAUCUAAUCAGAUCAUAUGGCAAUUUUGUUCAUAUAUUGACCAUUAAAAUUCCUGUGGAAGAAAUGACUAUCAUUAUCAUUGUUUUUGUAAGUAAUGUAUGGUAUCAAAAAAUAUUAAUACUGGUCCCUUCCUAUACGAUUAGUUUUUUGUCGCUACCUAAGUCUGGUGGCUAGGGUUUGCGUUGUCUAGUGCUCACGUCCUUUUGCAGAGAGCUCUUUCCAUGCCCAUAAGGCGUCCCUGUCUGCAUAGGAGUGACGAAGGUGACGGGCUCGUGACACUCUAGGGUUCGGCGUCGUGUUUUGUGAAGGUUUUUGGGCGAGAUCUAGAGUGGACUUUGGAGGCGUUGAAAGAUAUCGUUCAAGGAUUUACCACUAACCUGGCAAUCUCGGAGGUAGAUGCUUUCGAGAUUGUAGGCGUGGAGGAGCUGAGUAAAUUGAAGGCUGAUCGUUUCCUUUUGGUUGGGCGCUUACUCAUAACCAAGCCUGUCCAUAAAGAGCCGCUGUUUGGUACUAUGAAGAAUAUCUGGCGUACAUUGGAGGAUAUCACUGCGGUUCCUUUGGAUGUACCCGAGAGGUUUUUGUUCUCCUUCAAGUCUGAUCUUGAUCAUAGAAGAGUGUUGAGGAGUUCUCCUUGGACUUUUGAUAAGGCCCUGUAGUUGCUUGAGGCAACAAACGGUUAUGUUGAUCUGCUGACAAUUACUUUGGAUACCCAUAACUUUUGGGUAAAGGUUAGGCGUAUUACCCUCUUGUUCCUGACUCCAGCAAUGGGAGAGAAAUUGGGCAACUACCUUGGAUCUUUUUUCAUGGUGGAUCGCAGAUUGAAUGAGGAUUGUUCGGGCAGUUUCUUGCGCAUCAUGGUAGGGUUGAAGAUAUCGAAGCCCCUGAAGUGUUGUGUUAUGCUUUGUUUAGCACUUGAUGAACUAGCAAAGUAGCACGAGAUCGAGUAUGAACGGCUGCCUUAUUUCUGUCUGUAUUAUGGUAGAUUGGAUCAUAUAGGUUCAAACUGUGAGUUGAAACGAAAAGGGGAUAUUACUACGGAACGAUAUGGACGGUGGAAGACUAUGGUCAAAGAUGUUUUUAGUAUCAGGUUAGUGAACGGUUUUACAAGGAAUAGGAUUAGACUUGGAGGCGACGAGACACAGUUGACAAUUGUGCUUCACCCCGAAGGUGGUGGGCAUUGUUUGUCUGUGAGAAGCGAUGGGAAAUGGUCGGGGAGAGAUAACCAUAGAGGAAGAUGGUUUGGGAAGUGAUCAUGUGCUACGUCUAUUCAAAAAGAGACGAUUUUCUACUGAAGGUGAAGGCCAUACCACUACAGCACCGAUGGGGAAGAGGCCGGGUGAAACUCAUAAGUGUUUAUUAGUGAGCGUCCGAGGUUCAGGAACCCAAGAGGUACUGACAAAAUUGCCAGAGACUAUGAUUGUGGAGAAGGCAUUGGUAGACUACGUCGCUGUCGAACAACUACUGGGAUUACCUUUGUUCUCUAUGGGUAAAGAGCAGAUAGGCAGUAGGGGCCUGUAUGGUGGAAGGUGCUCGAUCAAAAAACAGAGCAACAAAAGAUACAGGCCACGUAGAGAUGGUGGAUGAGGGAAAUGAGAAGUGAUGUUACAAAAGCAAAAGACGAGCCAAGCUGGUCAAUCGGUGAUGAGUCCCGAGAAUUAGUCCUAUCACGAGCAAUGACAAUCUUAUGCUAGAAUGUUUAUGGUCUGGGCAAUCCACGAACAUUUCAAGCUAUGAGAUUCCUCAUUAUAGACAAAAACGAAAAAAAAACUACUCGUCAAAUGAAAUACAUCUAAUUGCUGCUAGGUUGGGCUGGCUGCUUUAAGGUGAGCAGAGUUGGCUUGUCUGGAGGGCUUGCCCUCCUUUGGCAAUAUGGGAUGAAUAUAAUGAUUCGUUCUUCAUCGCCAGGUCAUAUUGAUGCCAUCUUUGGAGGUUUGGAGCCAACUGCAUUUAGGUUUACUAGUUUUUAUGGAAACCCGUAUAUGAAGCUGCACAAGCAUUUGUGGGAUCUAUUACAGUGGAUUGCGGGUGAUGUGAUUGGCCCAUGGCUAGUGGGUGGUGAUUUUAAUGAAAUAGUUACGGCACAUAAGUAUUUACACUGCCGAUUUCUGGCUAUGUCAUAGAUAAGGGAUUGUGGUGCAGCUCUUAAGGAUUAUGGUAUGUCGACGGUAGGUUUCAGAGGAUAUAAAUUUAUUUGGUCCAACCAAUGGAGAGGUAGUGGUAAUGUUCAGCUUUGUUUGGAUAGGAUGGUGGCAAAUGAUUUAAUGUUUCUAGCUUUCCCGGAUAUGCUUACCCAUCAUCUUAAUUCUGUGGUAUCGGACCAUCUCCCUAUCCUCAAGGAGUGUGGGUCGCAUAGUUGGGCAUGGAGAAAGCAACGUUUUAUGUUCGAGGAACUUUGGACCACAUUUGAAGGUUGUCAGGAUACCAUUACUAGUGCUUGGAGGGUUGAUCAGGGGUCUGUUUUGAGCAAAUUGCAUUCUUGCCAGGCAUCCUUGACCCGGUGGAAUAAGGAGAAUGUUGGCUAUAUUUCUACAAAAGUAAGAUGUUUGCAGAGUAAGCUAGAUAUUUUAAUGGGAAAUGAGCAAGAUGCAACAAUUGCUCUUCAACAGAAAGCUCUCUCGCAGAGCCAUCUCUCUUCCCUCCGCGAGCCUCGUCAACGUCGCCGAGCCUUAUCCUAGUCUACGAUCGUGGUUUCUCUCUCUCAUGUUUUUCUGAUGGUUUAUCUAUCGUGGUUUCUAUAUUUUCCUUUUGUUUGUUGAUGAUGCCCGUCGUCGUUCACCUAGCUAUCUCUCUUUCCUCCACGAGCCUUGUCAGCACUUGUCGAGCUUCUAUGCCGUGCUACACUGCUGUUGUUCCCUUUGCAUACCCCUUCUUUCCCUAUGUCCCAAGUGCAUACCCCCUGUUUCCCCAUGUCGACGGUGGGUUUCAGAGGGUAUAAAUUUACUUGGUCCAACCGAUGGAGAGGUAGUGGUAAUGGUAAUGUUCACCUUCAUUUGGAUAGGAUGGUGGCAAAUUAUUUAAUGUUCUUAGCUUUCCCGAAUAUGCUUACCCAUCAUCUUAAUUCUGCGGUAUCAAACCAUUUCCCUAUCCUUACGGGGUGUGGGUCGCAUAGUUAGGCAUGGAGGAAGCGACGUUUUAUGUUCAUGGAACUUUGGACCACAUUUGAAGGUUGUCAGGAUACCAUUACUAGUGCUUGGAGGGCCGCUCAGGGGUCUGUUUUGAGCAAAUUGCACUCGCUGGUUUGUUAUUUCUGUGGAUGAUUGCACUUGCAUGAUGUGGUUGUACUUGAUGAAAAAUAACAGUGAUGUUUUUGCUGUUUUUAGAAUUUUCACCAGAUUGUUCUAUUGACAGGUAUAGUGCCAAACUUAUGGCCUGAGGUUUAACCUAGACUUAUGGAACUUUGGACCACAUUUGAAGGUUGUCAAGAUACCAUUACUAGUGCUUGGAGGGCCGCUCAGGGGUCUGUUUUGAGCAAAUUGCACUCGCUGGUUUGUUAUUUCUGUGGAUGAUUGCACUUGCAUGAUGUGGUUGUACUUGAUGAAAAAUAACAGUGAUGUUUUUGCUGUUUUUAGAAUUUUCACCAAAUUGUUCUAUUGACAGGUAUAGUGCCAUACUUAUGGCCUGAGGUUUAACCUAGACUUAUGAUAUUGAUUAUCAAGAGACGUUUGCACCGGUGGCUAAGAUCAAUACCAAUCGAGUUCUAUUACCUUUAGCUGUAAACUUUAAUUGUCCAUUCAAGCAAUAUGAUGUAAAAAAUGUCUUCUUACAUGGAGACUUACAUGAGGAAAUCUACAUGUCAUUGCCGCAAGGUUAUAAGGCUCCUAAUGAUGCUAGUGCUGUAUGUAAAUUGAAGAAGGCACUAUAUGGAUUGAAGCAGUCUCCGAGAGCUUGGUUUGGGAGUUUCAGUCUUUCCAUAAAAAAAAAAUUGGUUAUGAGUAGAGCAAUGCUGAUCGUACUUUAUUUUUAAAAGGAAGAAUGGUAAGUUAACAGCUCUUAUUAUUUGUGUGGAUGAUUUGAUUGUGAUUGGUGAUUAUCUUGAUGAAAUUGGCAAACUGAAAGGCUAUUUAGCUUCUGAGUUCGAUAUGAAGGAUCUCGGUGGAUUAAAAUAUUUUUUAGGUAUUGAGGUAACUCGUUAUGAACAGGGAAUUUUCUUGUCACAAAGAAAAUAUGUUCUUGAUUUGCUAAAGGAAACAGGUAUGCUUGGUGUGAACCGAUUGGUACUCCUAUAGAACGAAAUCAUGGUUUGGAAGAAUAUCCAGAUCAAGUUCCAAUUGAAGUCCUUAUUUGUCUUAAGGCAUAGAAAGGACCUCACUAUUCAGUUUACCGUUUCAAAUGACAAUUGUUUUUUUUAAGUCAUUUACUUUGUGCGCAAGUCUAUUUUUAUUUAUUUAUUUACAAGUCUUUUAGGGUUUUAACACUACUAAUAUUGGCACACUCGCAAAUUCACAUAAGCUCAACCCUGUUUUAAGGCUUGGACAUUUUUAGGGUAAAUAUAUUUUCGCACUCCCCGUGGGAUCUCUAAUACACAUAUUACUAACAACUUAUGUUGGUAUAUCCGUUACAUGGACUAAAGUUACUUCGUUUUACCAAAAAGAUUGUUAUAAGACAUUUCAAACUUGGAAGUUCUAAAAUUGUUGCAUAAUUGCAGAAUGGUACUGAGGAAGAUAAUAAAGGAGCUCUUACUUUAGCAAAUGCAAUAGAGAAGGCUCUGCAAUUGCAUGACAACCCUAAUUCUAUAGUGAAAGAAACAGCUAAAUCUAUUGCAGUAUUUUUAGCCACUCGAUCCUUUUAAGGUUUAGAUAUACAUUAUGAAGGUUCCUUGCCAGAACCAUAUUUUAUAGGGAGAUGUAGAAGGGUAGUAGGGUAUGAAGAUGAGAAAAACGGGCAUCGUGUUGAAGGAUGUCCCAUUGGUAGAUGUGUGGAAGGCAACAGGUGUAGGUGACCGCCCGAGAGGGGACAUGUAAAUGAAAGAGCAUACUAUUGAUGUCUCCCUUGCAGCAUGGAGUGCAUCUAUAUGAAACCGAGACUAUGUAAAGGGAGAAACAAGUUUACUAGGACUUGGGUUACAAGUUUACUAGGAAUAGGAAACCAAAACCCUACUAGAUUGGGCUAAGAAAUAUGCCCUUAAAGCCAUCAAAUUAUGUAAGAGCAACUCCACCCAUUUUCCAUGGCUAAGGGCAAGGGGGGGCUAGGGCAGUUACUAUUCAUGUAAAUAGUUGCUGCCUUUGCAAAAAGCAAUGUGUGUUUCCAUCCGUUGCCAUUUUUCUUUUUUUUUUUAACCUAAACAAUUAAUUUGGAUAAUAUUUUCAGAUAAGAUUUUUGGGUUCGUACAUGUCAAUAUUUAUUAUCAAAUUCAUAUCUCAUAAUCGGAUAAAAUUUUAGGAUAAGAUUUUCAGUUUCAAAUUUUAAAUUUCAAAUUUUAGAUAAAUUUCAGAACAUCUUCCACGGUUGCCCACGUGCCCCCGGCUUCGAUGGAAGAUGCCAUGAGAUGGUGAAUAAAAUGAAAAUUGGAAGUGAUGAAAAUUUUGUGUAGAAGGUGAAAAACAAUAGAAUUUAUGAAAUUGUAUGAGGAUUUGGUGUUCAAAGUGAAGAAGAAUGGUAGGUAUUUAUAGGAAAAAAGUUCAGAAUUUUUUGGUAAUUCUUUAAAAAAAUGUCAAAUUUUUUUUUUUUCACAUUUUUUUGCCCAAAAAAAACCCAGUCAUUGGAUUUGGAAAAAAAAAAAAAAAAAAAAAAAGCAUCCGCGCAACUGGAAUGCGGCACUUGUCAAGUGACCGUUGGUCGACGUCAGCAUUGACGUCACCUCGCCUCGGGCUGCUUCCCCCAGCUAGAUGGCCCUGUCGCGUGGCACCCGCCUUGGCUAGGCUGUCUUGGCCCGCUGGAACCCGCUGCUUGGGAUCGAGCCCUGUCCUGCCCGAGCUUGGGUUUGUUGUUGGACUUGCUCUAAUAGUUAGAGUUAAAGACAUCUUUAAUAAAAGACAUAUUAUGUUAUCAAUAGGCAAGAAAGGUUGUUUUAUACAAUAAAUCAUCCUAUAUUAUCUUUCAAUAUGGAGAACAACCAUAGUCCAAGGAAUACACAAGUGGAUAUGAGAGCUAUGUAAUGAGAUUGCAUACAUGGAGACUUCUCAUCAUCCCUAAAUCCUAAAUAUGUUCAUGGUAAUAGGAAUAUUGAUUGGGCAUCAAUAUUCUGCAAAGACUUGUACACACAGUAUCGUCCCUAUAUGUAGGGAAUGGCAAGGUCUCAAGUCAUUAAGUGUGGAGACACAUCGAUAUGUGUAUAUGUGCUUGUAGAAGAACAAGUACACUGAAGGCGAUCCAACACAUGAGUUACAACAUGGAAGUCUUUACUUACAUGUCAAGCUGGAAGUCAUAAUUUGCAAUGGUGCAAACUAAUCCUUAGACCUGAGGCAUCAUAGAUGUUUUGUGGCUAUGUUGUUAAUCUUUGAGGGCACUAUACGGUCAUGCUGAAUUAGGCAUAGCUUAAAGGUGCUCAUCAGGAUUCUCAAUAGUGUCAUGGAAGUAAAUGAAUGUACAAUAAGGAAUCUCUACUCUCAGUAAAGGAGAGAGAAUACUCCAAAAUAUGAUUGGUCAAAUCUCUAAGCAGAGUAGUGGAUAAGACUUGAAAGAAGAAGUCUUCAAGUGUUACCAGGAUAAUCAUAUAAAAUGAAUGAUUCACAUUAGGAUAUUGACAAUCGGAUUCCAUGAUCUAAUAACGUGAAUAAGGAGUAUUGACAUAAGAGAAUGAUUCAAUUGCACGGUUAUUCCAAUUUAAAUAGGUUCUUACACAACGUCUCAUUUAGCUCGGAUAACUGUGACUUGCUGCUAGGCGACAACCAUGGUUUGUGAAUGUCCUAAAAGGUUUCAAUUAACCUUUAUUAAUAGAAAGAAUUAAAUUGUGGAAUUUAAUUUAUAUAUUCAAAGAAACUAGGCUAAGAUACUUUGUUUAAAAUGAAAUUGGUUUAGCUCAACUAGUAUAAACAAAAUGAAUAUGACAUUUAUAAUGUUUUUGUUGUAUAGGUUGUGGCUAAAUUUCAUUUCCUAAGCAUUAGAUGCAUGUUUCCUUCACUUGGCUACGUAAGAAUUCAUUGUCCAAUCGAACCUUCUAGUUCCUGGAUGCUCCAUAGAAAUCCAUUGUUAUUCCUUUCUUCCACCGAGAAAGUUUCAUUUCAAAUCACAAGAGAAAUUUCUCUCUCUUUUUUUAUAAGCACCGACCGUUCGUCAUGAUUGGGUGACGGUUCGCCUGGAGCAAAAUUCACAACUCGAGCCUCUCUACCAAAAUCCAACUGGUUGGCUGGCCACACCGGCCGGUAGCUUUCUUGCUGCUGCCAAAUCCUACGACUUCUUCUCCUCUCUUGUUGCUCCUUUUCAUGCAGCACCUUGGUUCCUCUUCUUCCUCCUACAUUAUGGUGAGCCAAAUCACAACACUAGCUACAUGUAAUGAGCAACUAAGGCAAGGGUGGAACUACUUCCAAGGCUAUAUAUAUGUUUAACUUGUUUUAUAUAUAGCCCAGUACGUACUAACUUAUUCAAGUCCAAAAAAGUCUAAGUCCUUAUGAAUUUAGUUGGAGAGCAUCAAUUUGAUAAUAGGUACACUUUCAAUUAUGUUGUUGAACAUAUUUUCAUUUUGAUAAUAUGUGUUUUUUAGUUGCAUUUAAUAUGUAUUGGUUUUAAGUUUUUUUUUAGGACCUUUCCUUUUGAGAGGGCCGAUAAUAUACUAAACUCACACACACUAUAUUCAUACUAGGACUUGAACCUAGGACCUUGCUUGGGAGAGCAGUUGCUCCAAACCACCACACUAGUGGGUCCUUUUGCAUAUAUGUUUUAAGUUAAAGCUUAUUGGAAAUGAACAUUUAGCUCUGCACUCAAGGACCUAAGUUCGAUUUCCCACUCACCCAAUAUCGCUUAUAUAAGAAGGAAAAAACUUAUUGGAAAUUAGUCAAUUGAACUAUGAACUAGUGUAUGUUUUUAUUUAUUUAUAACAAAACAAUACAAGCAACAGUCUAAACUACAAGUGGGAGGGGAGUUUCUCACACACACACAUUAUCAAGGUGUCAUGGAGGUUCAAACAUGAGACCAAUGGUUUGCGAGUCAAGGUCCCUUUCUAUUGGGCUAGACCCCGUUGAAGAACUAGCGUGGUUAUAUGAUUUAAUGUUUGCUUUUAUUUCUAGAAAGACUAUAGAAUCUGGAAGUACCAAAAAAAUAAAAUAUCAUUAAAUUUUAAGCUAAUAAAUUUAGCUAGACUACCCGUAAAAACAUUUCUGGUUCCGCCCUUGAACUAAGGUCUUGUUUGAUGGCUUAGUUUCUUAGUUUUUGGUUACUUUUCAUCAAAGAUAGUGAGAGGGGAGACAGUAAAUCUGAAUUGUGAAGCAUAAGAUACAUAAGCCAGACUUUUUCCAUUCACAUCAAGAUAAAAGUUUUCUCUGUCUGCAGAUGACUGCACUUUAAACUUCCUUGCCUAACUUCUAUGAUUUUUACUUCCCUUUUAUAUUUAACUUGCAUUUUAGGUAUUAAUAUGGAGUUGUAAUUACAAUUAUGGCAGUUAAUGAAAUGCUUGGAAUACAUUAUAAAUAAAAUAUGAAGUCUAAUGGCAACGAUGUAAAAACAUAGGAAUAUUAUGACAUCUUAUAUCUUACUGGUAAUUUAAGUUUAAAAUUGAGUUUUCCACAUAGAUUUAUAAAAUGAUGGGUAUAUGUCUAGGAAAUAAAAAUGGUAGGGACCUAUAUUGGAAAAACCCUAAAUUUUAUUAAGAAACCACAAAAGGGCACAACAAUACAACAAAAAGUAAAAUCCAACCAAGCUCAGCAACAAGGAUAUACUUUUUUAGUGGAAAAUGUUGGGAACACUGACUUAUAUCAUGAUUUGAUUUUUCUUUGGCCUACAAAUCAAUUCUUUUAUGUGGAAAAUUCUUUUGACUUUGUCACUCAAAUUGUACAAAUAUGGUUGUGUGGCUUUUAAAAGGCAACGUGACGUGUGGGAUGGGCUGCCAAUUUUGAAACUUAUUAGCUUCUUUGAGAAGCUGGUGCAACAUUUAUGCGCGUGAACACUUGGCGGAUUGAUCCAUCAGAGAAGACAAAAUAAUGGUGUCAUUUGGACAGACUUGGGCAAUUGAUCCGGCAACAAGUCUUUCAUGGUUCCUUUAGCCUCGUUUGUUACGGAAGAUUGUCUUGGCAUGAACUAUUCUAAGAAAUUGUCUUGGCCUGAAUUGGCUUAAGUUGAAUAACACUUAACCUAUGUUUGGUGAUGCUUGGAUUGGGACUAAAUUUAAAUUGAUUAAAAUAUCAAUAAAUAGGACGAUAUAUUUCAACUUCUGUUAUACUGUACAAACGUGGGUUAAAAAUAUUCCAAUUUUUUUUUUUUUGCUAGUAAAUAGACCAGACCCGACCCGUUAAUUCUAGGCCAAAGUUCCCAAAGUUUUAUUUAAUAAGGUUUAUUUUUUAGGUUUAUAUAGGUUUUAAAUUUAAGGGCAUUUGUGUCUAUUUAAGUGAAUUUUUUACUAUAUUUGAAAUAUUUUAUAAAAACUGAUAUUUUUGAAAUUAAGGAUCAAGUUUUGAUAAAUUCUCUAAUAAAUACAUUAGUUUUAAGUUUUAGAUUUAUUACAUUUUUUUAUUUCUUGCUUGCAUUUAUUAACUGUCAUUUCUUUAUCUCUUUUUCGAAGCCUCAAAAGUCCAGUCAAUGGAUGGGGCCGUCUGAGUUGUUUUGUACGGUGGAAAACGUAUAAACUGGAUUUCGUGUCCUGGACUUCAAUAAUUUUUUCAUAUCUUUUAUUUAUUUAAACAACUUGGACUUCGUAGAAAUGGGGCUUUUUCUUUGGGUCAAGAAGUCAGUCAAUGGAAUACGUGUUCUCUCCGCCAUCGAUGGGGCAGCCUCUGUUUACCUCUCCUACUUUUGGGUGAAGAAGUCAGUCAAGUCUUUAUUUAUAAGAUUUUUGAAGUUGUUAAGAUAUCUACUGUGGCCAACAAAAUUCACGAACUUGCUUUCAGAAAAUAUUCAGAUAACAAUUAUUUAAUUGAGUAGACAAAUAAAUUCAAAUUCAAGUGAUGAUUUUCGCAGAGAUCAUCGCUGAAGAAUAUCAAAAAAAUAUACAAUUUGAAUCAUAAAAAAAUAAUAUUAUAUAAGUCCUACAACAGUGUUCCACAAACAAAAAAAUCCUCAAAUGAAGCUUUUAUGAGUAGGUACGAGCUUUAUUAAUUAUCCCUGACAAGAUUGUAGACCACCAUGGAAAGUCUCCUGCGGUAGUAGAUGUAAUUUGGGAAUCCAAAGAAACUAAUUUGCACGCCAGACAUGCAAGUCAAUGUCAACUCAAGUCAUACACGAUUUCUGAUAAAUUCAUGUCGGAAAAUGAAUUUCUAGGGAAGUUAUGAGCAUUUCAGACUCUAUGUUUCUCUAUAAAUAUCCAACAACAAAUCUUAACCUUCAUUCUCAUUCUUCACUAGCCCUUCACCAAAAUGGCUUUCUACAAUACAACAAAACACCUUCUAAGCCUCACUGCCCUAGUCUUUGUGGCUGGAGCACUGCUAAAAAAUGUGACAGCACAAAAUUGUGGCUGUGCCCCAGAUCUAUGUUGUAGCCAGUAUGGCUACUGCGGCAGCAGCGAAGACUAUUGCGGCCCGGGUUGUCAACAAGGCCCUUGUACUGGCGGUGGCGGCGGCACACCUACCACACCAAGCCCCAGUGGUGGUGGUGGUUCGUCGGUGGCUGAUAUUGUAACCCAAGAAUUCUUCAAUGGAAUCAUUAACCAGGCUCCUUCAGACUGUGUUGGGAAGAACUUCUACACUCGAGAUGGUUUUAUUAACGCUGUGAACUCAUAUUCUGACUUAGGUAGACGUGGUUCGGUUGACGAGUCUAAACGGGAAAUCGCAGCUUUCUUUGCUCAUGCGACUCAUGAGACUGGCUGUAAGAUAUUCCUUUCCUCCCCUCUCAUACAUACAAUGUGACAUGAACAAAUUAUAACUCCCCUCUCUCAUUAAAAACGUGCAUAUGUUACAUGUUGUGAAAUUAUAUGUUUCACAACGUGCAAUAAGAGCACGUUGUAUUAUACAACUUUUAGCAACAUGCAUUUAGUGUGCGUCGUCGAAAUGCGUUUAGUGCAUAUCAUGUCUGAAAGUUUCUAUAGUUGCUAAAUAUUUUCCAUGUAUUAAGCUCCACAAUUACCGAAUGAAUUUCCUCAUUAUGAUAUGCACAGAUAUUUAUGUCAAAUAGUUGAUAACCUAUAAAAAUUCAAAACCCCUAUUUCUCAUAUAAAAAUUUGAUGGGUCUUAUAUAUUGUCAACAUAAAUAGAACAAACAAAAGAAAACACAGAUGAACCUAACAAAAUAACUUUUUCUUUUUUGUUCAGAUUUUUGCUUCAUAGAAGAGGACGAGGCGACUCGUGAAACCGCCUGCCAGCCAAGCACAGAGUAUCCAUGCAACCCCGACAAAAAAUACUAUGGGCGUGGACCAUUCCAAAUUACAUGGAAUUACAAUUAUGGACCUGCUGGAAAAAGCAUUGGCUUGGACCUUUUAAACUCUCCAGAAACCGUGGCCUCAGACGCUGCUGUUGCGUUCAAGACUGCCAUUUGGUAUUGGGUGGGAAAUGUUCGUUCUGUUUUAAGUCAAGGAUUUGGAGCCACAACUCGAGCCAUUAAUGGUGCUAAGGAAUGCGAUGGUAAAAGACCUGACCUAGUUCAAGCCCGGGCCGCCUUGUACCAGAGUUAUUGCAGCCAACUUAAUGUUGAUCCUGGCGCUAAUCUCAGUUGCUAGAAUGCCAAAACUUAUUAAUUAUAUAGAGAUUAUCGUUAAUUGCCCACUUUAAUAUGAUAUAUAUCAAUAUAUCAUUUUUUUUUUUUGUUUGUUCCCAAGCUAGCAUGGAAGGAGAGGACUACCUCCUGUUGUGUACUCCACCCAUUGAAUAAAAUAAAGAUUAAAUAUUUGUAUUGAAUGUGUUUUUUGUCAUUCGCUAGGGAGGAGGAUGAGGCAUUAUUAUAUUGAAUUGCCUCAAGAUUGUCUUCUAUAUGAAUCGAACCCGAGUGCACUAAGGGGGGCAUGUGAGAGUUUUGGCCAACUUUUUUACCGUGAUGCCACCCCAUGUGCUGUAUUGAAUCUUAUAUAUAUUGUUGAAAAUUGUAGGAAUCUUUGUGAAGUCUGUUUAGCGAACAUUUGUGAUUGGUUUGAUAUGAAUAUGAG